RNAcentral lists this small RNA (75 nucleotides) under Gammaproteobacteria bacterium. RNAcentral's name for it is "sX9 sRNA". It matches the Rfam family "Xanthomonas sRNA sX9". Lineage: Bacteria; Pseudomonadati; Pseudomonadota; Gammaproteobacteria. The record is from RNAcentral.
AUGUAUUACCCCAUACACUGCGGUUCCUGCGCGCCGUGCGCCUUGCCCUAAGGCCGCUCGCUACGGUUUUUAGCA